Molecule: ribosomal RNA, 593 nt
Filed under: Colletotrichum aotearoa
Lineage: Eukaryota; Fungi; Ascomycota; Sordariomycetes; Glomerellales; Glomerellaceae
Description: eukaryotic LSU rRNA
Rfam family: 5.8S ribosomal RNA (bases 231-384)
Source: RNAcentral
UAGAGGAAGUAAAAGUCGUAACAAGGUCUCCGUUGGUGAACCAGCGGAGGGAUCAUUACUGAGUUUACGCUCUACAACCCUUUGUGAACAUACCUAUAACUGUUGCUUCGGCGGGUAGGGUCUCCGCGACCCUCCCGGCCUCCCGCCCCCGGGCGGGUCGGCGCCCGCCGGAGGAUAACCAAACUCUGAUUUAACGACGUUUCUUCUGAGUGGUACAAGCAAAUAAUCAAAACUUUUAACAACGGAUCUCUUGGUUCUGGCAUCGAUGAAGAACGCAGCGAAAUGCGAUAAGUAAUGUGAAUUGCAGAAUUCAGUGAAUCAUCGAAUCUUUGAACGCACAUUGCGCCCGCCAGCAUUCUGGCGGGCAUGCCUGUUCGAGCGUCAUUUCAACCCUCAAGCUCUGCUUGGUGUUGGGGCCCUACAGCCGAUGUAGGCCCUCAAAGGUAGUGGCGGACCCUCCCGGAGCCUCCUUUGCGUAGUAACUUUACGUCUCGCACUGGGAUCCGGAGGGACUCUUGCCGUAAAACCCCCAAUUUUCCAAAGGUUGACCUCGGAUCAGGUAGGAAUACCCGCUGAACUUAAGCAUAUCAAUA